Molecule: ribosomal RNA, 827 nt
Filed under: Aspergillus terreus
Lineage: Eukaryota; Fungi; Ascomycota; Eurotiomycetes; Eurotiales; Aspergillaceae
Description: eukaryotic LSU rRNA
Rfam family: Eukaryotic large subunit ribosomal RNA
Source: RNAcentral
CCGGGAUGCCACCCCAAAGGCGGGAGAAGAGGCACGAGCUCAAAUCUGAAAGCGGGCUCCUCCGGGGUCCGCAUUGUAAUUUGCAGAGGAUGCUUCGGGUGCAGCCCCCGUGUAAGUGCCCUGGAACGGGCCGUCAUAGAGGGUGAGAAUCCCGUAUGGGGCGGGGUGUCUGCGUCCGUGUGAAGCUCCUUCGACGAGUCGAGUUGUCUGGGAAUGCAGCUCUAAAUGGGUGGUAAAUUUCAUCUAAAGCUAAAUACUGGCCGGAGACCGAUAGCGCACAAGUAGAGUGAUCGAAAGAUGAAAAGCACUUUGAAAAGAGAGUUAAACAGCACGUGAAAUUGUUGAAAGGGAAGCGCUUGCAACCAGACUCGCUCGCGGGGUUCAGCCGGGCUUCGGCCCGGUGUACUUCCCCGCGGGCGGGCCAGCGUCGGUUUGGGCGGCCGGUCAAAGGCCUCCGGAAUGUAGCGCCCUUCGGGGCGCCUUAUAGCCGGGGGUGCAAUGCGGCCAGCCUGGACCGAGGAACGCGCUUCGGCACGGACGCUGGCAUAAUGGUUGUAAACGACCCGUCUUGAAACACGGACCAAGGAGUCUAACAUCUACGCGAGUGUUCGGGUGUCAAACCCGUACGCGCAGUGAAAGCGAACGGAGGUGGGAGCCCCCUCGCGGGGCGCACCAUCGACCGAUCCUGAUGUCUUCGGAUGGAUUUGAGUACGAGCGUAGCUGUGGGGACCCGAAAGAUGGUGAACUAUGCCUGAAUAGGGCGAAGCCAGAGGAAUACUCUGGUGGAGGCUCGCAGCGGUUCUGACGUGCAAAUCGAUCGUACAAAU